Molecule: ribosomal RNA, 164 nt
Filed under: Alangium chinense
Lineage: Eukaryota; Viridiplantae; Streptophyta; Magnoliopsida; Cornales; Cornaceae
Description: 5.8S ribosomal RNA
Rfam family: 5.8S ribosomal RNA
About the family: 5.8S ribosomal RNA (5.8S rRNA) is a component of the large subunit of the eukaryotic ribosome. It is transcribed by RNA polymerase I as part of the 45S precursor that also contains 18S and 28S rRNA.
Source: RNAcentral
AAAACGACUCUCGACAACGGAUAUCUCGGCUCUCGCAUCGAUGAAGAACGUAGUGAAAUGCGAUACUUGGUGUGAAUUGCAGAAUCCCGUGAACCAUCGAGUCUUUGAACGCAAGUUGCGCCCGAAGCCAUUAGGCCGAGGGCACGUCUGCCUGGGCGUCUCGC